CGCGCUUUAUAUCGGGUGGGAGGCGGGAGAGCGGGGAGGGGGACCAGCAUCACUCCAGCCUCCAGCCAACCAAAAGCUGCUCAGACGGCGCCCGUGAAGAUGAGAGCUUAGAGCAUCUUUCCCUGGAGAGAUGAGCCAUGCCAGGAGAGUGGCAGCACAAAGCCAUCUGGGCAGGAGAAAGGCUCCUCUCAAGCUGCCUUUGGGAGCAGGAGCAUGAGGAUCUCUGGAUGGGAGACUGAGAGGAGCAUGAGGCACCUCAGCCCCACCGAGCAGUAGAGUCCUGUCUUUCUCUCAUCACUUACAAGAAGCCACAGAAUGGUCUUGCUCAUGGACAGACAGGAAGGAUGCAUCAGGACUAAUGACUGAACACACACUUUUACUUCUUCAUGUAAGAGCAGCCUCUUUCCUGAUGGCUCUGGGGAUUUUCACUCAAAUAAUCAUGUUUAAGCCUUCUUGGUUAGCAGAUAUUCAACUACAGAUAAAUGGCUGGAGUUACACAAAGCUCUAAUUCAAGUCUUCUCUGUGCCUUAAAACAAAAAUUAGAGCUGUGAUCCUUGCUGUGGAUUCCAGAAAAGAAAUGGAAGACUUGAGGAGAGAGGGCUGGAAGGUUGCCUUUGCCUGUACAGCUGCUGAGAAUGUCUGUGCACACCCAAGAAUGUCUGUGCACACCCACAGCGUGUGUGCUUGGCAUCACUUUUGGAAGUGCCACACCAGCCUGGAGCUCCACCCCAGUUCAGCACCACGCUGGGAGCACUGGUGUCACAGCAGCAGUGGCACGUGGGGGUGGGCACAGGCUGCUGGCACCCACACUCAGCUGUUCCACAGAGUCAGGGCUGGAAAGGAGAUCUGGAGAUCAUGCCAAAGCAGCUUGGCACUCACCUCCCUGCUGCAGCAGGUGACCAGAGGGUUUAGGGAGGCAAUGCCCCUUCUCCUCGUCCCCUCCCUGGUUAUUCCACACAAAUGCUGUGGAAAUGUUCACCUCUGUCCCUUUCCCCUCUAGCACUGCAGCCCAUCCUUCCUGCUGCAGAUCUGCAAAGUCACAGGGUGCUCUGGUAACUCUCCCUGGUGUUUGAGGCACGCUCUGAGCAGGUCAUGCCAGGAGGAAAACCUCCAGGAGCCUGGCCACGUGUGGCAGGCACACGGGACAGAUGAUUCCUGGCUGCCACUCAGGAGCCUGGCACAGCCACCGUGCUGGGAACCACGUGCUGCCUGGAGCAGCCAGGCAAAUGUAACUAUGGCAAAAACACAGCUGGGAUGGCAGCAACUGCAACUGGUGAGGAGCCUGGGGCGUGUGAGCCAGAGCAGAGAAACUCUGCACAUCUCUGCCCUGAGACUGCAGCCUGCUGAGCCCCCCUCUUUGCUCCAGGCCCUGUUUGCCUGCUGCUUUUCCCCAGAGAAAUAAAGUGCAUUGCACAA
This is a non-coding RNA of Taeniopygia guttata (zebra finch), 1416 nucleotides long. The record is from RefSeq and is a predicted model, not a curated record. Lineage: Eukaryota; Metazoa; Chordata; Aves; Passeriformes; Estrildidae.